GGCUUGGUAGUCUAGUGGUCUAUGAUUCCCGCUUUGGGUGCGGGGGGUCCCGAGUUCAAAUCUCGGCCAAGCCC
RNAcentral lists this transfer RNA (74 nucleotides) under Clathrus columnatus. Its description in RNAcentral is "tRNA-Pro". It matches the Rfam family "tRNA". From Rfam's summary of the family: Transfer RNA (tRNA) molecules are approximately 80 nucleotides in length. Their secondary structure includes four short double-helical elements and three loops (D, anti-codon, and T loops). The record is from RNAcentral. Lineage: Eukaryota; Fungi; Basidiomycota; Agaricomycetes; Phallales; Clathraceae.